AGUCGGGGAUGAAGUCUGGCUCCCAUAGGAGUCCGGACGAAGUCUUCCUUCGGUUGGAGUCGGAGACGAAGUCUGGCUCCCGUAGGAGUCCGGACGAAGUCUUCCUUCAAUUGAAGUCGGAGACGAAGUCCGGCUCCCGUAGGAGUUCAGACGAAGUCUUCCUGCAGUUAAAGUCGGGGACGAAGUCCGACUCCCGUUGGAGUCCGGAC
This 209-nucleotide long non-coding RNA is filed under the name Elaeis guineensis (African oil palm). Its description in RNAcentral is "long non-coding RNA (EGUI_LNC080896)". The record is from RNAcentral. Lineage: Eukaryota; Viridiplantae; Streptophyta; Magnoliopsida; Arecales; Arecaceae.